UCCCCCCGAGUUGGUAGAAUUAGAAACUGCUGGAGUUUGAACUCUGCACUGUGUUGUCCUGUGAAGGUCCUGAUGUGCCUGCAAUUGUCUUCUUUGUUAGGUUGUUCAAGAGGAUGCUUUGAGAAGAAACAGAAUAAGAGGUGGAUCGAGUGCUUAUAGUUUUUCUUCAGGAAGACUCACUGGCUCCAAACAGUCACACACACACACAACCCACAUUGCAGUGCCUCACUUUUAUUUGCUUGUCAGAUGCUUAUGACACGCUCAAUACAUAUUUGCUGAAAUUAACCUAAUGUUUUUAAAGAAUGUUCCAAAUAACUUUUUUUGGGGACAGAGUCUCACUCUGUCACCCAGGCUGGCAUGUAGUGGCAAAAUAUCGGCUUGCUACAGCCUCUGCCUCCUGGUUCCAUGUAAUUAUCCUGCCUCAGCCUCCUGAGUAGGUGGAACUACAGAUGCACACCACCACACCCUGAUAAUUUUUGUAUUUUUUAGUAGAGAUGGGGUUUCAUCAUAUUGGCCAGGCUCAUGAUCCACCCACCUCGA
Molecule: long non-coding RNA, 540 nt
Filed under: Homo sapiens (human)
Lineage: Eukaryota; Metazoa; Chordata; Mammalia; Primates; Hominidae
Description: novel transcript
Source: RNAcentral